Molecule: ribosomal RNA, 492 nt
Filed under: uncultured bacterium
Lineage: Bacteria
Description: partial 16S ribosomal RNA
Rfam family: Bacterial small subunit ribosomal RNA
Source: RNAcentral
AGUGAACGCUGGCGGUAGGCCUAACACAUGCAAGUCGAACGGCAGCACAGUAAGAGCUUGCUCUUACGGGUGGCGAGUGGCGGACGGGUGAGGAAUACAUCGGAAUCUACUUUUUCGUGGGGGAUAACGUAGGGAAACUUACGCUAAUACCGCAUACGACCUACGGGUGAAAGCAGGGGAUCUUCGGACCUUGCGCGAUUGAAUGAGCCGAUGUCGGAUUAGCUAGUUGGCGGGGUAAAGGCCCACCAAGGCGACGAUCCGUAGCUGGUCUGAGAGGAUGAUCAGCCACACUGGAACUGAGACUCGGUCCAGACUCCUACGGGAGGCAGCAGUGGGGAAUAUUGGACAAUGGGCGCAAGCCUGAUCCAGCCAUACCGCGUGGGUGAAGAAGGACUUCGGGUUGUAAAGCCCUUUUGUUGGGAAAGAAAAGCAGCAGGUUAAUACCCCGCUGUUCUGACGGUACCCAAAGAAUAAGCACCGGCUAACUUCGUG